RNAcentral lists this ribosomal RNA (253 nucleotides) under uncultured bacterium. Its description in RNAcentral is "partial 16S ribosomal RNA". It matches the Rfam family "Bacterial small subunit ribosomal RNA", at positions 524 to 776 of the family's 1533-position model. The record is from RNAcentral.
UACAGGGGGUGCAAACGUUGCUCGGAAUUAUUGGGCGUAAAGCGCGCGUAGGCGGCUACUUAAGUCGGAUGUGAAAGCCCCUGGCUCAACUGGGGAAGUGCACCCGAAACUGAGUAGCUUGAGUGCAAAAGAGGGCCGCGGAAUUCCCGGUGUAGAGGUGAAAUUCGUAGAUAUCGGGAGGAACACCGGUGGCGAAGGCGGCGGCCUGGGUUGACACUGACGCUGAGGCGCGAAAGCCAGGGGAGCAAACGGG